UUGGGAAACGAUUAAGUGACGUCACGUGUUUGGGAGAAAAACGAAAAAAAAAAAAUUGAGGAGGUGAUGAACAUGAUGAUGAGGAGGAUGAGGAUGAGCUGGAUGAUCGGGACUGUCGUUUUACUUUCUUGACAGCUGUCAUUAGACGAUAAAUAAAGUUUUGGUCUCGGUAAUUGCAGCGAGUGAAGAGAUUAUUGAUAAUCAGUUUAAUCCCAAACGUUUAAUUUUUCAGGAAAAAUGAAGAAGUCGAUACGGAUUUAGCGAGAGGUCGAGGGUGUUCGAUAUUGGAGACACAUCGAACGGGAUCAUGAAGUCUAGGGGUUUUAGUGCAUCGUCAACAGGAGAAAAUAAUUUUUUUUAGUGAAUUGUGACGGAGAUAAUCGAUAAUUAGUGAAUAUUCAAGAUAAUCGAUAAUUUUUAUGACUCGAUGAAACGGUUUCCUCUAUUUUCUUUUAAUUAACGUAAUUAAAAGGAAAUUGUUUUAAGGUGACGAGGAAAAUUGUCAGUUUGUUUUUUUUGUUAAUUAAUUCAGACGAAAGAGAAAUGUUUUUGUGAAAAAUUGACUUCAGAGAAGUUUUUAUUUGUAAAAAUUAUAUUUCUUCAAUUGAUUCGUCUCCAGGAGCUUCAUUAGGCUUCACUAAUGACAAUCCUAUUGCUCGUGAGGAUGACUAUGUUGGACAGGACCUUCAAGGACACCCGCCAGUGAUUUUUCGGAUGGGGUUAACCGAAGCCUCCGGAUCUGGGACUUCAAGAAAAUUCUGUAUCGAACAUCUGCGAACACAGUUCCAACAUUUAAACGUUGCAGAGAAAAUAAGGAACAGGGAAUUUAUUUAUUUAAUUACCGCACGAAAACAAAUAAACAAAUUCUCGAAAUUUCCACUGAAAAAUUCAUUUAAAUUUCUUCUCAGAAUUAAUUUAAUUAACAAAAUUAUAUUUAUCGACAUCAUUUGCGUCGUCAUCUUCAUGUCGACUGUGACAGUCUCCCGAUUGCAAAUUACCGUCAAUAAAUCAAUAUCAGGAGCAAUAAACAAUCACCGAACCCUAAAAUAAGUAAAAAUCUUCGAUCUUCGGUUCCAUUUCCCGGACGAGAUAACGAGAUAACGAUGAGCUCAUCGCAUUGACGACGAUAACUGGGAAAUUACGAACUGGGAAUUUGUCGCUGUUCAUCCUCACACCUCCAAUCGACACAUUUGCAACACUUGUGGACGAAGUUAUAAACAUAAUAAUCAUUUGGAGAUUUGUCCGAGAAUUGGGACUUUUUUGCUGUUCAUCACCAGAACUCAAUGUUGGAGCACGAGGUGAUGAGUCGCCAUCACUGUCUCCAAUGUGGGAGGAGUUACAAGCGAAGAGAUCACUUGAAACGUCACGCCAGGUGAAAUGGGGGCGAGAACCUCUCAAACAAUUAGAAACCAAACUGAUGAACGGAUUAACAACAAGUCCCAGCUAUUAUUAACAAACAAUAAUUUUGUUUCAUCCGAACAAAAUUAUUUCUUCAACUUUUAAUUAUUUUCCAGAUGAGGCUCUCAGACUCGUCUAAAGAGGCGAAUCCUGGGAGAACUGGGAGUUUGUCCCUGUCGUUUGUCCACCUGUUAACAGUGAAUCAAAAAAUCGUUAUCACUGUCUUCAAUGCGGACGGAGCUACAAACGUCGUGAUAACUUGAAUCGUCAUGCCAAGUACGAGUGCGGAAUGCCGAAUAGAUUUCGCUGUCCCCAUUGCCAUCAGGACUAUCGUCAACGGGCCCAGGUCUGGGCCCACAUUAGAAAUCUUCAUAAAAAUUCGGAUCUCUUUUGCGUCGACAAUGAAACCGGGGAAAUGCAAUAUUACACCGGAGGUCACAAGAAUGAGUGACCUUGAAGAAGAUGUUCAGUGUUGGAUGACAACGUGAACAAGUGUAUUCCUGGAUGAGAAGAAUCUACUGUACGCUGACAACGAUAGAAUUGGUGCUUUCAAGUGCCCCAGCUGUGAUAAAGUUUACAAAUGGAGAAAGUCAAUGCUCGCGCAUUUCAGACAUCAGUGCAAAAAACCACCGAGAUUUGAGUGCACACAUUGUGAAGUUAAAAAUUAUCAGAAGGGACAUAUUAUGAGGCAUCUUAUCGUACAUCAUCCAGCGUUACCACAGAUAUAUUAUGAUGCAAAGACAAAGACAAGGGUCAAUCUUCGACCCAUUGGUCAUCCUUUUUAAUUAACAUAUCCACUUGGGAAUCACUAAUGAAAAAUCAGUGUUUUCAAUUUUAAAAUACUCAAUAAAAUAUUAAUUUUGGUAU
Molecule: long non-coding RNA, 2265 nt
Organism: Diachasmimorpha longicaudata
Lineage: Eukaryota; Metazoa; Arthropoda; Insecta; Hymenoptera; Braconidae
Exons: 7
Source: RefSeq, a predicted model, not a curated record